CGGGGAAUAUUGGACAAUGGGCGAAAGCCUGAUCCAGCCAUGCCGCGUGUGUGAAGAAGGUCUUCGGAUUGUAAAGCACUUUAAGUUGGGAGGAAGGGCAUUAACCUAAUACGUUAGUGUUUUGACGUUACCGACAGAAUAAGCACCGGCUAACUCUGUGCCAGCAGCCGCGGUAAUACAGAGGGUGCAAGCGUUAAUCGGAAUUACUGGGCGUAAAGCGCGCGUAGGUGGUUUGUUAAGUUGGAUGUGAAAUCCCCGGGCUCAACCUGGGAACUGCAUUCAAAACUGACUGACUAGAGUAUGGUAGAGGGUGGUGGAAUUUCCUGUGUAGCGGUGAAAUGCGUAGAUAUAGGAAGGAACACCAGUGGCGAAGGCGACCACCUGGACUAAUACUGACACUGAGGUGCGAAAGCGUGGGGAGCAAACA
Molecule: ribosomal RNA, 427 nt
Filed under: uncultured bacterium
Lineage: Bacteria
Description: partial 16S ribosomal RNA
Rfam family: Bacterial small subunit ribosomal RNA
Source: RNAcentral